UUUAAGUGGUGACCAAAUUAAUCUAUAAAUUCUGUUUGAUUAAUUUUUAAUUAUCAGUAAAUUGGUAUCUAAGCUAAGAGUAAUUUGCCUCUUGUAUAUAAGUUGUCUUUCCUCCAAACACUAAUUCCAUUCGUCGAUCUAGGAUCCAGAUUUGAUCCUGACAUUUGGAUAAAAGCUCGCUGAACCACUUCCAUCAAUUUACAGUGAACAAUAAGUCAACUACAUGAAAUUGUUACACUUCAUCUGGAAAUUGUUUUAUUCCAGAUUCUGUACUUCCCUGAUUUUUUUCAAGAAAGGCUUAAUCUAGGUUGUUGAAUCCAUUGUUGUUGUUAUAGCUGGCUCAUUAUUGAUAUAGGCUACCCAUGAUAAAUGUUGGAAUAGCUCUACUGUUACCUCAGCAGAAAAAAUACAAAACAAAGGAAGACCUCAUCAUAGGUAUGGGCAUGUCUAUGAUGACUAUUGAAAUAUCUUGCUCCUUAGUAUCCAGUAGAAUAGAAAGUGGCAUAAAAUUAGAAAAAAAAGAUAUUGAAGGAUUUUUGAAAGGCUUUCAAUAUCCUGAAUGCAGCAUAAGUUAUAGGAAAUUCAUGUACAGAUGCUGCUGACAAAGCAAUAAAGGACAUCUGAAAUUUGCUCUUUUCUUUACAGCUUAUUCAAAUACCACUCCAAAAGUAGAGCUUGUUGCAUAGAUAUAGAAGCUUCUUAUGGUAGCAAACUUGAUUUGGAA
This 724-nucleotide long non-coding RNA is filed under the name Androctonus crassicauda. Lineage: Eukaryota; Metazoa; Arthropoda; Arachnida; Scorpiones; Buthidae. The record is from RNAcentral.